Non-coding RNA from Xyrichtys novacula (pearly razorfish), 6237 nucleotides. NCBI's taxonomy places the organism in Eukaryota, Metazoa, Chordata, Actinopteri, Labriformes, Labridae. The record is from the annotation of a GenBank genome assembly.
ACCCGGGUAUUAGGUUUUGGGGCUAGGGUUAGGUUUAAGGUUUUUGGCGUUAGGGUUAAAAUAACUGUCCAAAACCUUUGUAGGAACUAUUUUCCAACCUUUGGGAAUAAGUUAGACAAAAAAAAAGAUAAAUGAAAAAAAAAAUAUUUGGGGUGUACGGGCUUCCUGAAGGAAAUAUUAGGUUUUGGGGCUAGGGUUAGGUUUAAGGUUUUUGGUGUUAGGGUUAAAAUGACUGUCCAAUAUUUUUUAAGGAACAUCUUUCAGACCUUUGGGAGUUAGUUAGAAAAAAAAAAAAGAGUUUUUUUUAAGGUUUUUGGCGUUAGGGUUAAAAUCAAUGUCCAAAACCUUUGUAGGAACUCUUUUCCAACCUUUGGGAAUAAGUUAGACAAAAAAAAUAAGAUAAAUGAAAAAAAAAUAUUUGGGGUGUUCGGGCUUCCUGAAGGUAAUACCCGGGUAUUAGGUUAUGGGGCUAGGGUUAGGUUUAAGGUUUUUGGCGUUAGGGUUAAAAUAACUGUCCAAUAUUUUUUAAGGAACAUGUUUCAGACCUUUGGGAGUUAGUUAGACAAAAAAAAAAAAUAUAUUUGGGGUGUUCGGGUUUCCUGAAGGUAAUAUUAGGUAGGUAUUAGGUUAUGGGGCUAGGGUAAGGUUUAAGGUUUUUGGCGUUAGAGUUAAAAUCAGUGUCCAAAACCUUUUUAGGAACAUGUUUAAGACCUUUUGGAGUUGGUUACACCCAAAAAAAAUGUAAAAUGAAAAAAAAAAUAUUUGGGGUGUUCGGGCUUCCUGAAGGUAAUACCCGGGUAUUAGGCUUUGGGGCUAGGGUAAGGUUUAAGGUUUUUUGCGUUAGGGUUAAAAUCACUGUCCAAAACAUUUGUAGGAACUAUUUUCCAACCUUUUGAAGUUAGUUAGACCAAAAAAAAACGAAAAAUGAAAAAAAAUAUUUGGGGUGUUAGGGCUUCCUGAAGGUAAUACCCAUGUAUUAGGUUAUGGGGCUAGGGUAAGGUUUAAGGUUUUUGGCGUUAGGGUUAAAAUCACUGUCCAAAACCUUUUUAGGAACAUGUUUCAGACUUUUUGGAGUUGGUUACACCAAAAAAAAUGUAAAAUGAAAAGAAAAUAUUUGGGGUGUUCAAGCUUCCUGAAGGUAAUACCCGGGUAUUAGGUUAUGGGGCUAUAGUAAGGUUUAAGGUUUUUGGCGUUAGGGUUAAAAUCACUGUCCAAAACCUUUGUAGGAACUAUUUUCCAACCUUUUGGAGUUCGUUAGACCAAAAAAGAAACGAAAAAUGAAAAAAAAAAUUUGGGGUUUUCGGGCUUACUGAAGGUAAUACCCGGGUAUUAGGUUUUGGGGCUAGGGUUAGGUUUAAGGUUUUUGGCGUUAGGGUUAAAAUCACUGUCCAAUAUUUUUAAGGAACAUGUUUCAGACCUUUUGGAGUUAGUUAGAUAAAAAAAAAACGAAAAAUGAAAAAAAAUAUUUGGGGUGUUCGGGCUUCCUGAAGGUAAUACUAGGUUUCUGGGCUAGGGUAAUGUUUUAGGUUUUUGGCGUUAGGGUUAAAAUCAAUGUCAAAAACCUUUGUAGGAACUCUUUUCCAACCUUUGAGAGCAAGUUAGACCAAAACAAAAAGAAAAAUAAAAAAUAUAUAUUUGGGGUGUUCGGGCUUCCUGAAGGUAAUAGGUUAUGGGGCUAGGGUAAGGUUUAAGGUUUUUCGGCGUUAGGGUAAAAAUCACUGUCCAAAACCUUUGUAGGAACUCUUUUCCAACCUUUGGGAAUAAGUUAGACAAAAAAAAUAAGAUAAAUGAAAAAAAAAUAUUUGGGGUGUUCGGGCUUCCUGAAGGUAAUACGGGUAUUAGGUUUCGGGGCUAGGGUUAGGUUUAAGGUUUUUGGCGUUAGGGUUAAAAUAACUGUCCAAUAUUUUUCAAGGAACAUGUUUCAGACCUUUGGGAGUUAGUUAGACAAAAAAAAAAGAAAAAGAAAAAAAAUAUAUAUUUGGGGUGUUUGGGUUUCCUGAAGGUAAUACCCGGGUAUUAGGUUAUGGGGCUAGGGUAAGGUUUAAGGUUUUUGGCGUCAGAGUUAAAAUCAGUGUCCAAAACCUUUUUAGGAACAUGUUUAAGACCUUUUAGAGUUGGUUACACCAAAAAAAAUGUAAAAUGAAAAAAAAAAUAUUUGGGGUGUUCGGGCUUCCUGAAGGUAAUACCCGGGUAUUAGGCUUUGGGGCUAGGGUAAGGUUUAAGGUUUUUGGUGUUAGGGUUAAAAUCACUGUCCAAAACCUUUGUAGGAACUCUUUUCCAACCUUUUGGAGUUAGUUAGACCAAAAAAAAAGAAAAAAGAAAAGAAUAUAUUUGGGGUCUUCGGGCUUCCUGAAGGAAAUACCCAGGUAUUAGGUUAUGGGGCUAGGGUAAGGUUUAAGGUUUUUGGCGUUAGGGUUAAAAUCACUGUCCAAAACCUUUGUAGGAAUGCUUUUCCGACCUUUUGGAGUUAAUUAGACCAAAAAAAAAAAAAAUGAAAAAAAUAUAUUUGGGGUCUUCGGGCUUCCUGAAGGAAAUACCCAGGUAUUAGGUUAUGGGGCUAGGGAAAGGUUUAAGGUUUUUGGCGUUAGGGUUAAAAUCACUGUCCAAAACCUUUUUAGGAACAUGUUUCAGACCUUUUGGAGUUGGUAACACCAAAAAAAAUGUAAAAUGAAAAAAAAAUAUUUGUGGUGUUCAAGCUUGCCGAAGGUAAUACCCGGGUAUUAGGUUAUGGGGCUAGGGUAAGGUUUAAGGUUUUUGGCGUCAGAGUUAAAAUCAGUGUCCAAAACCUUUUUAGGAACAUGUUUAAGACCUUUUAGAGUUGGUUACACCAAAAAAAAUGUAAAAUGAAAAAAAAUAUAUUUGGGGUGUUCGGGCUUCCUGAAGGUAAUACCCGGGUAUUAGGCUUUGGGGCUAGGGUAAGGUUUAAGGUUUUUGGUGUUAGGGUUAAAAUCACUGUCCAAAACCUUUGUAGGAACUCUUUUCCAACCUUUUGGAGUUAGUUAGACCAAAAAAAAAGAAAAAAGAAAAGAAUAUAUUUGGGGUCUUCGGGCUUCCUGAAGGAAAUACCCAGGUAUUAGGUUAUGGGGCUAGGGUAAGGUUUAAGGUUUUUGGCGUUAGGGUUAAAAUCACCGUCCAAAACCUUUGUAGGAAUGCUUUUCCGACCUUUUGGAGUUAAUUAGACCAAAAAAAAAAAAAUGAAAAAAAUAUAUUUGGGGUCUUCGGGCUUCCUGAAGGAAAUACCCAGGUAUUAGGUUAUGGGGCUAGGGAAAGGUUUAAGGUUUUUGGCGUUAGGGUUAAAAUCACUGUCCAAAACCUUUUUAGGAACAUGUUUCAGACCAUUUGGAGUUGGUAACACCAAAAAAAAAUGUAAAAUGAAAAAAAAAUAUUUGUGGUGUUCAAGCUUGCCGAAGGUAAUACCCGGGUAUUAGGCUUUGGGGCUAGGGUAAGGUUUAAGGUUUUUGGUGUUAGGGUUAAAAUCACUGUCCAAAACCUUUGUAGGAACUCUUUUCCAACCUUUUGGAGUUAGUUAGACCAAAAAAAAGAAAAAAGAAAAAAAUAUAUUUGGGGUCUUCGGGCUUCCUGAAGGAAAUACCCAGGUAUUAGGUUAUGGGGCUAGGGUAAAGUUUAAGGUUUUUGGCGUUAGGGUUAAAAUCAAUGUCCAAAACCUUUUUAGGAACAUGUUUCAGACCUUUUGGAGUAGGUUACACCAAAAAAGAAAUAUAAAAUGAAAAAAAAAUAUUUGGGGUGUUCAAGCUUCCUGAAGGUAAUACCCGGCGAUUAGGUUAUGGGGCUAUAGUAAGGUUUAAGGUUUUUGGCGUUAGGGUUAAAAUCACUGUCCAAAACCUUUGUAGGAACUAUUUUCCAACCUUUUGGAGUUAGUUAGACCAAAAAAAAACGAUAAAUGAAAAAAAUAUAUUUGGGGUGUUCGGGCUUCCUGAAGGUAAUACCCGGGUAUUAGGUUUUGGGGCUAGGGUUUGGUUUAAGGUUUUUGGCGUUACAGUUAAAAUAACUGUCCAAUAUUUUUUAAGGAACAUGUUUCAGACCUUUGGGAGUUAGUUAGACAAAGAAAAAAGAAAAAGAAAAAAAUAUAUAUUUGGGGUGUUCGGGUUUCCUGAAGGUAAUACCCGGGUAUUAGGUUAUGGGGCUAGGGUAAGGUUUAAGGUUUUUGGCGUUAGGGUUAAAAUCACUGUCCAAAACCUUUGUAGGAACUCUUUUCAAACCUUUUGGAGUUAGUUAGACCAAAAAAAAAAAAAAUGAAAAAAAUAUAUUUGGGCUCUUCGGGCUUCCUGAAGGAAAUACCCAGGUAUUAGGUUAUGGGGCUAGGGUAAGGUUUAAGGUUUUUGGCGAAAGGGUUAAAAUCACUGUCCAAAACCUUUGUAGGAACAUGUUUCAGACCUUUUGGAGUUGGUUACACCAAAAAAGAAUGUAAAAUGAAAAGAAAAUAUUUGGGGUGUUCAAGCUUCCUGAAGGUAAUACCCGGGUAUUAGGUUAUGGGGCUAUAGUAAGGUUUAAGGUUUUUGGCGUUAGGGUUAAAAUCACUGUCCAAAACCUUUGUAGGAACUAUUUUCCAACCUUUUGGAGUUAGUUAGACAAAAAAAAAGAAAAAGAAAAAAAAAAAUUUGGGGUGUUCGGGCUUCCUGAAGGUAAUACCCGGGUAUUAGGUUUUGGGGCUAGGAUUAGGUUUAAGGUUUUUGGUGUUAGGGUUAAAAUCACUGUCCAAAACCUUUGUAGGAACUCUUUUCCAACCUUUUGGAGUAAGUUAGACCAAAAAAAAACGAAAAAUGAAUAAAAAUAUUUGGGGUGUUCGGGCUUCCUGAAGGUAAUACCAAGGUAUUAGGUUAUGGGGCUAGGGUAAGGUUUAAGGUUUUUGGCGUGAGGGUUAAAAUCACUGUCCAAAACCUUUUUAGGAACAUGUUUCAGACCUUUUGGAGUUGGUUACACCAAAAAAAAAGUAAAAUAAAAAAAAGAAUUUUUUUGGGGUGUUCGGGCUUCCUGAAGGUAAUACUAGGCUUCUGGGCUAGGGUAAUGUUUUAGGUUUUUGGCGUUAGGGUUAAAAUCAAUGUCCAAAACCUUUGUAGGAACUCUUUUCCAACCUUUGAGAGCAAGUUAGACCAAAACAAAAAGAAAAAUAAAAAUUAUAUAUUUGGGGUGUUCGGUCUUCCUGAAGGUAAUACCCGGGUAUUAGGUUAUGGGGCUAGGGUAAGGUUUAAGGUUUUUCAGCGUGAGGGUAAAAAUCACUGUCCAAAACCUUUGUAGGAACUCUUUUCCAACCUUUGGGAAUAAGUUAGACAAAAAAAAUAAGAUAAAUGAAAAAAAUAUAAUUGGGGUGUUCGGGCUUCCUGAAGGUAAUACCCGGGUAUUAGGUUUUGGGGCUAGGGUUUGGUUUAAGGUUUUUGGCGUUAGGGUUAAAAUAACUGUCCAAUAUUUUUAAAGGAACAUGUUUCAGACCUUUGGGAGUUAGUUAGACAAAGAAAAAAGAAAAAGAAAAAAAUAUAUAUUUGGGGUGUUCGGGUUUCCUGAAGGUAAUACCCGGGUAUUAGGUUAUGGGGCUAGGGUAAGGUUUAAGGUUUUUGGCGUUAGAGUUAAAAUCAGUGUCCAAAACCUUUUUAGGAACAUGUUUAAGACCGUUUAGAGUUGGUUACACCAAAAAAAAAAUGUAAAAUGAUAAAAAAAUAUUUGGGGUGUUCGGGCUUCCUUAAGGUAAUACCCGGGUAUUAGGUUUUGGGGCUAGGGUAAGGUUUAAGGUUUUUGGUGUUCGGGUUAAAAUCACUGUCCAAAACCUUUGUAGGAACUCUUUUCCAACCUUUUGGAGUUAGUUAGACCAAAAAAAAAAAAAUGAAAAAAAUAUAUUUGGGCUCUUCGGGCUUCCUGAAGGAAAUACCCAGGUAUUAGGUUAUGGGGCUAGGGUAAGGUUUAAGGUUUUUGGCGUUAGGGUUAAAAUCACUGUCCAAAACCUUUUUAGGAACAUGUUUCAGACCUUUUGGAGUUGGUUACACCAAAAAAAAAUGUAAAAUGAAAAGAAAAUAUUUGGGGUGUUCAAGCUUCCUGAAGGUAAUACCCGGGUAUUAGGUUAUGGGGCUAUAGUAAGGUUUAAGGUUUUUGGCGUUAGGGUUAAAAUCACUGUCCAAAACCUUUGUAGGAACUAUUUUCAGACCUUUUGGAGUUGGUAACACCAAAAAAAAAUGUAAAAUGAAAAAAGAAUAUUUGGGGUGUUCAAGGCUUCCUGAAGGUAAUACC